Molecule: ribosomal RNA, 458 nt
Filed under: uncultured marine microorganism
Description: bacterial SSU rRNA
Rfam family: Bacterial small subunit ribosomal RNA
Source: RNAcentral
GGGGAAUUUUCCGCAAUGGGCGAAAGCCUGACGGAGCAAUACCGCGUGAGGGAGGAAUGCCUUUGGGUUGUAAACCUCUUUUCUCAGGGAAGAAGAUCUGACGGUACCUGAGGAAUAAGUAUCGGCUAACUCCGUGCCAGCAGCCGCGGUAAUACGGAGGAUGCAAGCGUUAUCCGGAAUCAUUGGGCGUAAAGCGUCCGCAGGUGGUUUCCAAAGUCUGCUGUUAAAGACUGGAGCUCAACUCCGGAACGGCGGUGGAAACUUGGAAACUAGAGUUCGGUAGGGGUAGCAGGAAUUCCCAGUGUAGCGGUGAAAUGCGUAGAUAUUGGGAAGAACAUCGGUGGCGAAGGCGUGCUACUGGACCGUAACUGACACUCAGGGACGAAAGCUAGGGGAGCGAAAGGGAUUAGAUACCCCUGUAGUCCUGGCUGUAAACGAUGGAAACUAGGUGUGGCUUG